UCCUGUGGUGCAGGGGAGGAGAGGAGAGAUGGAGGGUGACAGAAUGAUUGGAAAGCCUUUUAGGAGAAGAUCUUCUCAGGCUAGAGGAGAAUAAAGGACAUCGGGUAGAGCUAGGUGGAGACCACUAAGUCACCGCCUGGGUCCUCAGUGGGCUUUGAGAGGACUCACGCCUGGCUUGAGGGAGAAAACCGGCAUCUCAAGUCAGUCCCGAGAGCUGGACAGCGGCUUCGGUUUGGGUCUUACCCAAGCAUGGGCUAUGCGAGCUCUGCCUGCAAGGAGACG
Molecule: non-coding RNA, 282 nt
Organism: Peromyscus maniculatus bairdii (prairie deer mouse)
Lineage: Eukaryota; Metazoa; Chordata; Mammalia; Rodentia; Cricetidae
Source: RefSeq, a predicted model, not a curated record